CCAUUAUGCUGGGGUGACUGAGAAGAUAACACCCCCACAGAGGAGCUGGAAAAGUAAGGACUGGAAAGGAAGGCCAAGACUCUCAAAUUCAGAGUACAUCCAGGGAAACAAAAGCUUAUAGAAUGACAACACAUUGCAAGAAAAAAAAAGAAUAAAAAAAAUGCAUCCAGACUGCGCCCUAAAGGAGGAGAAAAUAGAAGCCUAGUUUUAAACAUGUGAGUUUGUGGCUAGAUAGCUAAAAAGAUUGCAAAGAGAUUUAUGUGUGAUUUAUUCUCCUUUA
This 280-nucleotide long non-coding RNA is filed under the name Numida meleagris (helmeted guineafowl). RNAcentral's name for it is "lncRNA (ENSNMEG00000008599.1)". The record is from RNAcentral. Lineage: Eukaryota; Metazoa; Chordata; Aves; Galliformes; Numididae.